UGAACGCUGGCGGUAGGCCUAACACAUGCAAGUCGAACGGCAGCACAGUAAGAGCUUGCUCUUACGGGUGGCGAGUGGCGGACGGGUGAGGAAUACAUCGGAAUCUACUUUUUCGUGGGGGAUAACGUAGGGAAACUUACGCUAAUACCGCAUACGACCUACGGGUGAAAGCAGGGGAUCUUCGGACCUUGCGCGAUUGAAUGAGCCGAUGUCGGAUUAGCUAGUUGGCGGGGAAAGGCCCACCAAGGCGACGAUCCGUAGCUGGUCUGAGAGGAUGAUCAGCCACACUGGAACUGAGACACGGUCCAGACUCCUACGGGAGGCAGCAGUGGGGAAUAUUGGACAAUGGGCGCAAGCCUGAUCCAGCCAUACCGCGUGGGUGAAGAAGGCCUUCGGGUUGUAAAGCCCUUUUGUUGGGAAAGAAAAGCAGCAGGUUAAUACCCCGCUGUUCUGACGGUACCCAAAGAAUAAGCACCGGCUAACUUCGUG
Molecule: ribosomal RNA, 489 nt
Filed under: uncultured bacterium
Lineage: Bacteria
Description: partial 16S ribosomal RNA
Rfam family: Bacterial small subunit ribosomal RNA
Source: RNAcentral